GGGACCUGAGGCCUUGGGCAGGUUGCGGGUAGGAGAAACCAGAAACCUGCAGCUGUAAGGCGCUGAGCGAGGCACAGGGCGAAGUGCCUGCCGUGGGCCCGGGGCUGAGCCGCUGUCUGCCGGCACCGCGGCCGGAGGCCCUGCGGAACGGCCUGUGGUAAAGCUGGUGUUGCCGGAGAGCGCGUCUCGUUCCUCAUUCUAGUUAACCUGGUCGCAGACUUCAUUUCCUUAUUCAGAAGGACUGGUACUGAGUUAACAUCUGAGCACAUCUAGUUGUUGCUUUAAGAAAACUCAAAAAGCUGCCAGGAUGUUUCUCCGAUUACUGUCAGAUGUCCGGUGGCGGGCAGCUAACCCAAAAUGGAGAAGAAUGACGUGCUCCCAGCGAAGUACCUCAAGUACAGCAGAACCUCACCCAAUUUCCUUGCCAGCACAGGCGCAGGUUGUCAUCUGUGGUGGUGGAAUCAUGGGCACCUCCGUGGCAUAUCACCUUUCCAAGAUGGGUUGGAAGGAUAUAGUCUUACUUGAGCAGGGCAGGUUGGCUGCUGGUACCACUCGCUUCUGUGCUGGCAUCGUGAGCACAGCCAGGCACGUGUCCAUAGAGCUGAAGAUGGCAGACUACUCAAACAAGCUCUACCAACAGCUGGAACAAGAGACAGGAGUAAAAACAGGGUACAUGAAGACAGGCUCUAUUUCACUGGCUCAGACUCAGGAUCGACUAAUCUCUCUGAAACGCAUUGCUUCAUCGCUCAAUGUAAUGGGGAUACCUUGUGAAAUUAUCACCCCAAAGCAAGUGGCACAACUCCACCCACUGAUCAACAUCCAUGACCUUGUGGGGGCCAUGUAUGUGCCAGAAGAUGCGCUCGUGUCAUCUGCCAAUGUGAGUCUGGCUCUGGCAACCGCUGCCUCAUGGAAUGGUGUCCAGAUUCAUGAACGGACGAGUGUCAGUCAUGUCUCAGUCCAGAAGGGUCGUGUGACUGGAGUUGAGACCGACAGAGGACAGAUUCAAUGCCAGUACUUUGUCAACUGUGCUGGCCAGUGGGCUUAUGAGUUGGGCCACUCUGGGGAGGAACCAGUCAAUAUCCCACUGCAUGCCUGUGAACACUUUUACCUCCUGACACAUCCUUUGAAGGAACCUCUGCCAAGCAGCUUACCAACUAUUGUAGACCCAGAUGGCAGGAUCUACAUACGCAACUGGCAAGGUGGCAUCCUCUCAGGAGGCUUUGAGAAAAACCCCAAACCUCUCUUCACAGAGGGACGGAACCAGCUGGAGAUUCAGAACCUUCAAGAAGACUGGGAUCAUUUUGAGCCACUUCUGAGUGCCCUUCUGCGCAGGAUGCCAGAUCUGGAGGCUCUGCAAAUCAUGCAGUUGGUGAAUUGCCCAGAGUCCUUCACACCAGAUAUGCGGUGCAUCAUGGGAGAGUCGCCCACCGUGCGGGGCUACUUUGUUCUGGCUGGCAUGAACUCAGCUGGUAUCUCAUAUGGUGGGGGAGCAGGCAAGUACCUGGCGGAGUGGAUGGUAAAUGGGUAUCCAUCAGAAAAUGUCUGGCCUCUGGAUUUGAAACGUUUUGGUACCCUUCAGAGCAGUCGCACUUUCCUCCGUCACCGUGUGAUGGAAGUAAUGCCCCUCAUGUGUGAUCUGAAAGUUCCCCGCUGGGACUUCCAGACUGGCAGGCAGCUGCGUACUUCACCGUUGUACGACCGUCUGGAUGCACAGGGAGCUAGGUGGAUGGAGAAGCAUGGAUUUGAGAGAGUCAAGUAUUUUGUCCCACCUGGGAAAGAUCUGCUGGAUUUGGAUCAGAGCAAAACCUUUUACAAACCAGACUGGUUUGAUAUUGUGGGUUCCGAAGUCAAAUGCUGUAAGGAAGCAGUUUGUGUCAUUGACAUGUCAUCUUUUACCAAGUUUGAAAUAAGCUCCACAGGAGACCAGGCCCUGGAGAGUCUGCAGUAUCUCUUCUCAAAUGACCUGGAUGUGCCAGUCGGGCAUGUUGUGCAUACGGGCAUGCUUAAUGAGAAAGGAGGUUAUGAGAAUGACUGUAGCAUAGCACGGCUGAGCAAACGCAGCUUCUUCAUGAUUUCCCCUACUGACCAGCAAGUCCAUUGCUGGGCCUGGCUGAAGAACCGCUUACCUGAUGACAGCAACGUGACCAUGGAAGAUGUGACCUGGAAGUACACUGCUCUCAAUCUCAUUGGCCCCCGUGCUGUGGAUGUCUUGUCAGAGUUGUCAUAUGCCCCGAUAACUCCAGAGCACUUUCCCUCUCUCUUUUGCAAGGAGAUGAGCGUGGGCUAUGCUAAUGGAAUUCGUGUGAUGAGUAUCACUCACACUGGAGAACCUGGAUUCAUGCUUUAUAUCCCCAUAGAGUACGCCCUUCAUGUGUACAACGAGGUGAUGAACAUGGGACAGAAGUAUGGGAUUCGGAAUGCCGGUUAUUACGCGCUUCGCAGUCUGCGCAUUGAGAAGUUCUUUGCAUUCUGGGGCCAGGAUCUGGAUGCUUUUACCACUCCUAUGGAGUGUGGACGCGAGUUCCAGGUCAAACUGGAAAAGGGAAUGCAGUUUGUGGGCCAGGAAGCGCUGUUGGAACAGAAGCAGAAUGGUGUGUACAAGCGCUUCACCAUGUUCAUUCUCGAGGACCAUGACACAGAUGCAGAUCUCUGGCCAUGGUGGGGGGAGCCCAUUUUCCGCAACGGCCGCUACGUGGGCAAGACCACCAGCAGCGCCUACAGCUACACUCUGGAGCGCCAUGUCUGCCUCGGCUUCGUGCAGCACUUUGAUGAGAAGACGGGAGAAGAGCUGGUUGUGACAACUGACUUCAUCAACCAGGGCGAGUAUGAGAUCGACAUCGCUGGGCAGCGCUUCCAGGCCAAAGCCAAGCUCUACCCCUUGAGUUCCCUCUUCACGCACCGUCGCCGCAAGGAUGAGGUGGAACUGAGUGGCUACCAGAGGGAGUAGUGCUGACUAGAUCUGACCCACUCCUCUUCCCAAGCUGGAGUCUUCUCCUACCAUCUUCCAGUUCUUUCUACUCACCCCAUAGAUUUCUUUUUUUUUUUUUUUUAUUUUUUUUUUUUUUUUUUUUUUUUUUUGUCUUGCAACUUUUAAACUUUUUUCCAGUGUGUUACAUUUUGUAUAUUUUAAAACUGUCAUUUUCAAGCUUUCCAGAUCCUGUUUGUCUGCCUCCUUUGCUUGCCAGGCUCCCCCAUGCCCAGUGGAUGAGGCACAGUGCUGAGCAUGCGUCCAGGAGUCCACGGGAAGCCUGUACAGGAGUGAACCCCAGCAGAGGCCCUAGCCUAGGGAAGGGUUGGGGUAAACCCCUGAGGACUGCACCCUCCCUCUCUCCUCUCCAGCAUAAAGCACAGGACAACAGGCAUUUUCUGCCUGUCGUUCAGUUAACGCUGUGACUUCACCCUGCUCUCCGCCUACCACGUUGUCGAGGGGUCGGUGCGUCGAUGCACACAGCAAUAGGACGAUCAGCUACCUCACUGGCAUGAGACGUAGUGUUGUGUGAGCAGCAGCCAAGAGACAGGUUUUGGUAUAGUCCAGCCUGUCUCUGCCCCCCUUCGUCCACCUUUUUUUUUUUUCCCUAACAGGGAGUCAAGUAGAUUUAAUCAUCCGAUCAUUGAGGUGACAGUAGUGCUGGUAAGUUUUCUGUUGUUAUUGGGAUUGGAUUUUUUGCGUGGGGUCACUGAAACUAAAUGGCCUUCUAUAAAUAUAACAAGAUCAACAUGUGUGUUUCACUUCUAUAAAGGUAUGAGAUUUUUGGGUUUUUAUUAGCAAAACCACUGAUUUCUAACAAGGACAGAUGUUAGUGUUUCAUGUUCUUAGCAGUGUUGAAAUGCUGCUUCUGUUUAAGCUGUACAAUCUCUUUAGGGAUUUUCUUUCACUUUCCUUUGUUUCUGUGACUUGGUCAAGCUCAUGUGGCAAGGUUCAUGUAAAACUUUUGUUGGUUUGGGGAACUUGAGCAGCAGGAGGGGACAACACCUUCUGUUUUUAGCUGCCUGUGGUUAUUUUGAAAUUAGAGGAAAAGAUGCAGUAUUUUUCUCACCAGUGGUGCUGGCAGUAGUGCUGAAAAAAUACUGGGUUUUCUUCUGGUGGUGAGAAGGCAUCUCAGCAGCUCCUGCUGAACUCAAGAAGUUGUCUUUUGUUUUUCUCCUCAAAUCUGUUGCACUUCUUGCUUCUCUCUCAGUAGUACCUCAGCUGAAGGGAUUGAAUAGAGGGAGUGAAGGGAGUGUGGCAGUGGAAUUAUACAUCACUUUAUUUCAGCAGAGCACUUUACAUCAUGCUCCUCAUACACAAGCUUCAGACAGUGCAGCUGGGAUUCACCCCUUCUUCAUGUGUCAGAACGUGCUGAUUCUAAUACUGAUGGUAAAUGGUAAAGAAGUGGGGGGAUGCUGAAUUGUACUGCACAUGUUUACAUCUUCUUUUUCUUCCCAUUGUGAGCACAAUCAGAAGCAAAGAUUGUCUUCAUUUACUUGAAAAAUACCUGUUAAAUGUUUUCCCUGACUCUGACACCCACAGACUCAUCAUUGUCUUUCUGCUCCAGCAUCUUUCUGUCUGGAGUUCAAACACACCCUUGCACUGAUGUCUGCCCUGUCAGCCACGAUGAACACUUUCCCUAUGAUCUAGAACUUUUUUUGGGCACUUUCUUUUCCAGUUAAAUGGUGAGCGUCAGUAGUAUAAAUAUGAACUCAAAACCUUGCCUGGUUCUUGUUUUUAGUUUGCUUUCUGCUGCGUUAGUUGCUUCAGGUCAUGCCUUACAUUGAGUCCAUGGUCUGCAAGUUCAUGGUUCAGUUGUUCUCAGCAUGCAAAAGGAGUUGGAUGUCCCUAAGGCAGGAAAGGUGAAAGUCUAAAACCUUCACACCUUAAAACAGGUUGGCAGAGCAAGCUCCCCCAUCCAGAGUGAUACAGAAGCUGUUGAAACCUUGGAGUGAGAGUCAGGAAAGGGUGUAAGAGGAUUAAGGAUUUGAGCGUGUGAUGUAGUAGGUUGAACAUAUAUGCUGCUUCUUUGAGUAUGCUCUCCUUUGUGAAUGGUGAAUUUGUAGUGUGUGAUCUCUUCAAGGAUUUCAAGCCUACAUUCAAAUUGACAUGCAAAAAUUCUCCAGUCUCUGAAAUGUAGUGACCAUGGCUUUUUGGGAUCUCACAGCUGAGAUUAGCGUGCAUGACUCUUGAAGGCGGAGAUUGUAAUUUAUUCCAAGUUCCCCUAUUACUGCUCUCUGAAUUAAAAUUUUGUCUGGUGUGUCAGGAUUAAUUGCCUCAAUGAAAGGUUCAUAAAGCAUCUAAUAGCAGUUUAAAAUCCAUUCGCUUCUUGCAUAGAGAGGCACUGCAGUCCCACUGUUCCCGUGCUGGAUGGGGGUACUGAGGAGCACCUCUGCUUUACCAGCCUGCCUCCUUGGAACAGUGCAUCAGGUCACUUAGAAAUACUUGUCCAUCCUCUCGUCUCUCCAUUGGUUUUAUAGGACAUUGCUGUCCCUUCCUUAUCUAGGGAAGCAGGUGUUCAACCAAACAGAGAGUUUUAUACGUGAUACUUAGAAUGUUUCUUAGAGCAGCCCUUCUUAUUAGAGUUUAUUGACCAUUUGUUGUUGCUGGUGAGACAUGAUACUUGUCUGGGAGAACACAAAGUAUCAUUUAAGUUGCAGCUAGAUUAUAUUCCUCCUUGUGAUUGUUUUUUCUUUUCCCUAAUUUAUAGGUGCCUGUUAGUUCCUCAGACUGAUAUGGGUGUCUUUUCCCACAGCAGUUCUGACAACGAAAUUGUGUUUUAUGAGCUUUUUUUGUCAUUAUGUCUGCUUAGGUUUAUUUCAUGUCUAGAUUUAUUGACUUUUCAAUAGCAAAAAUAGACAAUGAAAAUAAUUUUCCAUCAUGCCUAUAGAUACAGCAACACUUUCUGUAAUGUGUUUGCUGUUUGAGACUUAGAAAUAGGUGGUUUCAUAAUUGUCAGUCUUGCAGCUCAUUAACGCCUACUCUGGCUUUCCCUGCUAUGAAUUCUGAUUCUUAUUUUGUAUCCCAACCUAUAGUCUUCUGCUGCUGUUCAAGCUUUAAUUUUUGGCAGCUAUUUUUAACCUUAUAAUGUUAAAGAAUAGUUUGCCUUCACCAGCUUGAUUACCCAUCAAGGGGACAAUUAGAUAGUGUGUUUUAAGAUAGUGCUCGAUACUGAGAUGGAGGAAGGUCCUUCUAGUGUCAUGUUUUCAUCCAGAGGUAUUAAAGGGUGAUGUAAGACUAAUCCCUUUAUCUGAUGACUAAAAGUAGAGUGUCUAAAAAAAGAAGAACAAAAUCUGUUAAAGAAUUUAAGCCUUCAAAUUAGAUAAUUAGAAAUCGGAUCUUGAAAGCUGCUAUGACACAGUCUUAGCAUCUAAGAUGCUAAAUAAUGUGGACUGUAAAAUUAUACAUGAUUCUCAUCCUUAAAACUGCCUUAAAAUGCUUUCUUCUGAGAAAGACAGUUUGUUGCCAUUCUGUAUGGUAAGACUAUGAACCUUGGGUGGGAAAUACUGCAAUAGCAUCCCCCUCCUCUGCAGGGGAAGGGAUAAUGGCCUUAGCCAUUAGCAGGUCUGCCCCAGGCACCUCCUGCAGGGGUGUCAGCAGUUCUCUGAGUCUUGUUGUCCAGAAUGGGAACAGCCCUGUAGAUUUUUAUUCAUGUAGGCAAUUUUGCAAGAGAAACACUUGAAGGGAAGCUAACUGGAGUUUAGUAUGAGGAAAUAAUUUAUCUUUUUGGCUGAAAUACGAUACGUUGAGCAUAACCUAUUUUAGGAUAAAACCCAUCAGUGACAAGUGUUGAGGAAAGAGUGACCCGUGGGGAGAUAGGCCACAGUGGGUGGGUGGCAUGUGCUUGGCACAUGUAGGCUUGUUUUUUCUUACCCCAGAAAGCAACAAACAUCUGAGUGGGUUUGCUGAUGGGGUGGCAGUGAAUCCAUCUACGUGUACAACAUUCCUGUAUGCUGGGAAGGGCUUGCUUGCCCAAGUGUCAUCUGUAGAGUAGUGGGGGGAACUUCUGGAAGAGGUAGCACUUACUGGGUAGCCUCUUCCAUUGAAAGAUUUCUCCAGAGGUAUUUGUGUUGUCUUACCCUUGUUGCAUCCUCUUCUAAAUUCUGUUAGUCCUUCAGUGAAUGCUGAAAGGCUUGAGUAAAGAUGAUAUUAGAGGGACUUUAUUGUUCAUAUUUAACAAUCUAAGGAUAAAAUCAGACUACCUAAGAAUGAUGAUUUCUGUUUCAGGAGGGUGCAUUAACAGUGAUUUUUUCCAUCUGUUUUUGCCAGCCUUAGUUUCUUCUUGUUUUCUCUGUGCUGACUCCAGUGUCCAGAUUUGAUGUGCCUUGUUGGACAGUUUCUUCUUACUAUUUUGUGGCAGGGAGGGGAGGCUGUGUGAAACUUCCUCUACAUCUCCAUGUCUCGGUGUGAGCUUGGAUUCCUCCUUUCUACUGUUCCAUUUGAGCUGCCACUGAUCAUGUUGCUGUUCCUGCAACGCCUCCAAACUCCAGCCUGUGCUGCUGUAGGACUUCUUGUGCACAAGGGUUCUUCUCUUCAUUCUACCGGGUGCUUCAUAGUCAGAGCCAGGUUGGCUCUAGAUCUGUGUCUCUUCAUUGGUUUAAGCUCUUCAGCUUUCAGAUGGUGCAGAUACCAACAUCUGAACUUCCAGAUGGGAUUUUGUCCACUGUAUAUUCUGUCGUUUAACCCUCUCUUUCCUCCCUCAAUGUAGGAAUUAGUUCCUUUUGCCUGUCAGAGAGUGAGGUGUGGUAAAAUAAAAACAGGCAAGGGGAUGGUGGAGUGGCCAAGCUGAGGUGGAAGAAGCGUGUUUGAGGUUUGAUCCUUGGCCUAUUACUCAACCACUUAAGCCCAGCCUUGGGGAGAUGAUAAGGCCUGAUUCCCAGCUCAGCCUUAGUGCUGGACAAGCACUGAGUGAUAGCAAUGGCUCUGGGCAGAAUUAGGACAGCGUUAUGGAGGAAGUGAGAGCAAUGGUGGCACUCCUUUUCCAAUAUACAUUUCCCUCUCUCAUUUCUUGUUGCGAUGAAGGGAACUGUGCUGCACGGGGGAGGGGGGGACUGUGCUUACUCAUUUGCUUGAAACCCUCAGCAUGGUCUUGUAAGUGCUGUCUAACUGUAAAGGUGCAGCCCUGACCACUAACCUUGCCCUUGCAGCACGCUUCAACCAAAAUGGUCACAUUUUGGGAAUAAAUGUAUAAAACCAAGGUAGUUUCCAUGUUUGACAGAGGAGGGACAUUACUUGCAAGGACAAAGUCGUUCUUAUUUAAAACAGAACACCUAGCUGAUGCUAAUGUCCAGCAAAACAUUCACAACCUUCCAAUCUCUCUUCCCAAAUGAUUUUAUUAUAAUACUUGGUCAGGUUAAUUUCUGCCCAUUUCAGGAUGCUUUUCUGUUAUGAACUUUUUCUAAAGUUACUAUUUGGAUUUUUGUUUAAGAAAAAGCAGUCAGGGAACAGGACUUAGGGAAGGAGGGGUUGUCAUCACAUGACUUCAAGCUGUCUCUUUGAAAAAUUUCUUUGCACUUUAAACUUUCCUUAAGCAUUAUGAUUGUAGUGUGCUUGUAGCACUCAGCAAGAGCAGUUUUUGCAUUUGAGGGAGGAAAACAGAAACUUUAAAUAUUUGUGAAUGCCUUAAAGCUUUAGGUGAGGUAUUUGGGCACUGGUUGUGCCUGCCAUUUCAUUUUCUUCCUGGAAAGCUGUGUGCUGAGUGUACAAAGCAGACACAAACGUCGGCAGAUAUUUUUCCACUGAGGAUGGUGGGAGCUGCUGUUGCAGUAUGCUGCUGGUCUGAGGCUGGAAUUUGUAUUGAACUAAACUAUGCUGAGAGGCCCCGAGUCUGUGCUGACACCUUUCUCCCCCCCCACCCCAAAAUGGAUUUAUUCACUAUAUUGCUCAUGCUAUAAUGGUUUUCUUCUUUCUUUAAAGAAAGAAGCCUGGGCUUGUGUAGAGUACUCCAUGAGUGUCCCGUUGCAUUAAAGGAGACAAAAUUCUCUGCUUGAGCACUUCCCUGCUGUACCAGCUGACAUUUGCAGGCAGGAGUCAGGAGGAGUGGGAACGGAGGGGAUCUGCUGCUGCCAGUAAUGGCUGCUGAGAUGGCUGUGAGACUUCUUGUCUCCCAUCUGUCUCAAAGCUCUGCUGGAUUCCUGAUAUCAGGCUGGCUUUUGAGUUACAGCACAAAACAAAGCUCUGCUUUGCAGGUACAACAUGCUAUGCUGAUUUACUUUAUUCAGAGAUAGUGCUUGUUCAGAAUAAGGUAUCUCCAUGAAGAGGAGUGGUAAAUUAUAGUGAAAGCAGCACCAGGGAAAGCUGUUCACAGUAGUAUUUAUUGAUUUGUCAAUGCUGGUAACAGCUGAUCUACCUGCAUGGAUGCUUGACACCUGCUACAAGCAGAGCAGAUAGUUGGGAGCCGUCAGCCGUCCCAGCUGGGGCGUGAUCCACUCUGUACAGUGCCUUUCACUGUGCACCGCUGAGAUUGCUUCCACAGUACAGACACCUUUCUCUGCUUUUCCUGUAGUGGAACAGGUUUCACUGACACCCUUCUUCCAGCAUAACCAGAGGCAGAGUAAUGCCCCUGAAGUCCUUGAUGGGUUCUCCUGCAUCUCACGGUCAGCCUUGUGGCAGGACACGUCCCUGCUCAUACAUGCUCUGCCAGGGAAGCAACCCAAGCCAUGCUUGGGGGAAAGGAGCACACAUGCACUGGUAGUGCAGCUGUUCCUACACCGCCUGCCCGGCAGCUGGGUGAUGAUUAAUGUUUCUCACAUCUUUGGGAAGAGUUGCGGAGGACCCUUUUUGGCCCAGAUCAAUUCCUUGCUGCUGCUCCUGAGACAAUGUGCGUUCUUUUGGUCACUCUCUGCUCUGUUCCUAGCUGUGUGCACGUGACGGCUCCCUGUCACCGCCGGUUUUACAAAUGACCUAAGCUGUGUGGGAGGAGGGCUCCCUGCUUCUUGGGCAGGUACCCAGUGCAGGUCUACCCAGCAGAGACUUCUGUCUUGUGAACUGCACCAGUACAUCCCAUCUCCACCAUUGCUUCUGGUUAUCAGGUGCACCAGUUUGCUUCUCCAAAGCCCUUUGUGUUUUUUAUCAAUCUCUUGAGACCAGAUUUUAAAGGGCUGGGAGGACUUAUGAAGUGUGCUACUGCUGAAACUUUUAAGAACAACUGAAGUUUGAACCUGUGAAAACAUUUUUCUAGUGCCUUAUGCUUGUGAACGUUUUGCAAUGGAUGUAGCUGAUGUGGGACAGAGUACAGAGCAACUUCAGUGGUGUGGUUCCCCGUCCACUAUAGCCAUCUCCCUCUCCUCUCGUGGGGUCAUGGCAAGCAGAUGCCAACAGAUCAUUUCUAGCAGCGUGGUGGUGAUGCUUUUCUAAUCCCUUUGAGCUCUGGGGUUGUAGAAAUGUUAAACUAAAGCCUUGCACUGGGUGGUCUGCAUUUGAGAGGAGCGGUGGUCUCACCUCUGCUGGUUUUGGAUUCAGAGGGUUUUAGGAGGGACAAAGCUGCUCUGAUUGCUAGACCCCAUGGUGGCGGACGUGGUCAGUUGUUCCCAAGCGCACAAGCCGGGAGAGAAACCUCAAAAAAAAAAGAAAACACAAAACCAAACUGAAGCAGAGAAACAGGUAAGAGGCUGCUACAGAAAGCCAGGUACAAAAAGGUUAAAAAAACUUCCAAGGCCCAAAAAACCUACAGUGAUUGUUCCUCAAAUAACUAUUGCAACCAGGUGGUGCGGACAGGGCUCCCCCCGGCCUGGCUCCAGCCCCGCUGCCCCUGCCCCACUCUCGGCACCAUGGGCCUUGUGCCACCGCUGUGCCGGGCACCCAUCGCCAUCACCGGCUGUGCAGGCAGGUGGGGGUCCCUCUCUGGGGGACCUUUUCCAUGAUUGCCUUUUUCUUGAACUUUCCAGUAUCUCCUAAAAAUAAAAAAAA
This is an RNA transcript of Athene cunicularia (burrowing owl), 10876 nucleotides long. It is a transcript of the gene named pyruvate dehydrogenase phosphatase regulatory subunit, with no coding region annotated. The transcript has 19 exons. Lineage: Eukaryota; Metazoa; Chordata; Aves; Strigiformes; Strigidae. The record is from RefSeq and is a predicted model, not a curated record.